CUCCCUCUAUUUCAUAAUGUAAGUCAUUCUAGCAUUUCCCACAUUUAUAUUGAUGUUAAUGAAUCUAGACAUAUAUAAUCUAGACAUAUAUAUGUCUAGAUUCAUUAACAUCAAUAUGAAUGUGGGAAAUGCUAGAAUGACUUACAUUGUGAAACGGAGG
RNAcentral lists this unclassified non-coding RNA (160 nucleotides) under Oryza sativa (Asian cultivated rice). Its description in RNAcentral is "partial microRNA MIR472a-8-as precursor". Lineage: Eukaryota; Viridiplantae; Streptophyta; Magnoliopsida; Poales; Poaceae. The record is from RNAcentral.